CUUCAUCUAUGAUAAAUGAAACCACAACUAUUGAAUACCAAGUCUUGGAUGAGACUGCUAUAAAUACGGAAAAUGUUAGUAUGGCAGAUACUGAGAGACCUCAACUAAUUCAGCAAUAUGUUGACUGU
Molecule: long non-coding RNA, 128 nt
Organism: Colias croceus (clouded yellow)
Lineage: Eukaryota; Metazoa; Arthropoda; Insecta; Lepidoptera; Pieridae
Exons: 3
Source: RefSeq, a predicted model, not a curated record